Molecule: ribosomal RNA, 506 nt
Filed under: uncultured bacterium
Lineage: Bacteria
Description: partial 16S ribosomal RNA
Rfam family: Bacterial small subunit ribosomal RNA
Source: RNAcentral
AGUGAACGCUGGCAGUAGGCCUAACACAUGCAAGUCGAACGGCAGCACAGAGGAGCUUGCUCCUUGGGUGGCGAGUGGCGGACGGGUGAGGAAUACAUCGGAAUCUACUCUGUCGUGGGGGAUAACGUAGGGAAACUUACGCUAAUACCGCAUACGACCUAAGGGUGAAAGCAGGGGAUCUUCGGACCUUGCGUGAUUGAAUGAGCCGAUGUCGGAUUAGCUAGUUGGCGGGGUAAAGGCCCACCAAGGCGACGAUCCGUAGCUGGUCUGAGAGGAUGAUCAGCCACACUGGAACUGAGACACGGUCCAGACUCCUACGGGAGGCAGCAGUGGGGAAUAUUGGACAAUGGGCGCAAGCCUGAUCCAGCCAUACCGCGUGGGUGAAGAAGGCCUUCGGGUUGUAAAGCCCUUUUGUUGGGAAAGAAAUCCAUCUGGUUAAUACCCGGGUGGGAUGACGGUACCCAAAGAAUAAGCACCGGCUAACUUCGUGCCAGCCGCCGCCGUAA